RNAcentral lists this ribosomal RNA (576 nucleotides) under uncultured eukaryote. Its description in RNAcentral is "bacterial SSU rRNA". It matches the Rfam family "Eukaryotic small subunit ribosomal RNA", at positions 203 to 800 of the family's 1831-position model. The record is from RNAcentral.
UAUUUAUUAGAUAAAAAACCAAUGCCCUUCGGGGCUCCUUGGUGAAUCAUAAUAACUUAACGAAUCGCAUGGCCUUGCGCCGGCGAUGGUUCAUUCAAAUUUCUGCCCUAUCAACUUUCGAUGGUAGGAUAGUGGCCUACCAUGGUAUCAACGGGUAACGGGGAAUUAGGGUUCGACUCCGGAGAGGGAGCCUGAGAAACGGCUACCACAUCCAAGGAAGGCAGCAGGCGCGCAAAUUACCCAAUCCCGACACGGGGAGGUAGUGACAAUAAAUACUGAUACAGGGCUCUUUUGGGUCUUGUAAUUGGAAUGAGUACAAUUUAAAUCCCUUAACGAGGAACAAUUGGAGGGCAAGUCUGGUGCCAGCAGCCGCGGUAAUUCCAGCUCCAAUAGCGUAUAUUAAAGUUGUUGCAGAUAAAAAGCUCGUAUUUGAACCUUGGUCCUGGCUGGACCGGCCGCCUCACCGCAUGUACUGACCCGGCCGGGGUCUUUCCUUCUGAGUAACUUCAUGCCCUUCACUGGCACAACUCAGCUUUUUUCUACUUAUGGAUCCAAACAGCCGAUUGUUCUGGGAAU